RNAcentral lists this transfer RNA (69 nucleotides) under Galeruca nigrolineata. RNAcentral describes it as "tRNA-Gln". Lineage: Eukaryota; Metazoa; Arthropoda; Insecta; Coleoptera; Chrysomelidae. The record is from RNAcentral.
UACACUUUAAUAUAGGAUGUAUAUUAACUUUUGAUGUUAAAAGAGACAGUUUAACCUGUCAUGUGUAAU